Molecule: ribosomal RNA, 590 nt
Filed under: uncultured bacterium
Lineage: Bacteria
Description: bacterial SSU rRNA
Rfam family: Bacterial small subunit ribosomal RNA
Source: RNAcentral
CCUACGGGAGGCAGCAGUGGGGAAUAUUGGACAAUGGGCGAAAGCCUGAUCCAGCAAUGCCGCGUGAGUGAUGAAGGCCUUAGGGUUGUAAAGCUCUUUUACCAGGGAUGAUAAUGACAGUACCUGGAGAAUAAGCUCCGGCUAACUCCGUGCCAGCAGCCGCGGUAAUACGGAGGGAGCUAGCGUUGUUCGGAAUUACUGGGCGUAAAGCGUACGUAGGCGGUUAUUCAAGUCAGAGGUGAAAGCCUGGAGCUCAACUCCAGAACUGCCUUUGAAACUAGAUAGCUAGAAUCUUGGAGAGGUGAGUGGAAUUCCGAGUGUAGAGGUGAAAUUCGUAGAUAUUCGGAAGAACACCAGUGGCGAAGGCGACUCACUGGACAAGUAUUGACGCUGAGGUACGAAAGCGUGGGGAGCAAACAGGAUUAGAUACCCUGGUAGUCCACGCCGUAAACGAUGAUAACUAGCUGUUCGGGCUCUACGAGCUUGAGUGGCGCAGCUAACGCAUUAAGUUAUCCGCCUGGGGAGUACGGUCGCAAGAUUAAAACUCAAAGUGAGUAGAGCGNGAGAGNGCGAGACGACGACGAGGAGAG